Molecule: long non-coding RNA, 369 nt
Organism: Saccostrea echinata
Lineage: Eukaryota; Metazoa; Mollusca; Bivalvia; Ostreida; Ostreidae
Exons: 3
Source: RefSeq, a predicted model, not a curated record
UAACCUGCAUUAUUCUAUAUAUUAAAUCAGAUUCAUUUUCACUCUUGAUGCCUGUACUUUGAGAUUCAAAAAAGAAACAAGAUGCAGUUGAUGCAUGUCGUCAUUCUGUUUGUGUUGGCUGUAGUGCUCAAUGUCAUUGAAGCACAAAUGAAAGGAGAUCAAGGUAUGAUAAGUGGCGGACCAAAUGACCCGUGGUAUUGUUGCCGAAGGACAGCGGAUCGUUGUUUGGAAUGGUGUAGAUGAUCAUGGUACAUGCUAAUGUGAAUACAAGACGAAAGACAGGACACACAUCUACCAACACUCCAUGAAUUUCAACGAAAUAAACCAAUUAUUGUUUUGAUUGAUAGUUUAAUACAAAUGAAAAAUCAA